UGAACUAUUUUAUUAAAUAAUUAAAAUUAUUAUAUAAAAUAUUAACUAUUUCUUGAAUACCAAAUUUUUUUUUAAUCAUUCUUAAAGAAGUAUUUUAAUAAAUAAAUCUACAUUCUUUGCGCAUUUUAAUGUAUUGUCCAAUGAGAAGCAAAAGAAUAAUGCAUUACAUUCCAUUUUGUUUCGUUCUGCCACCAUAUCGAAUGCAUUCGUAACCGGUUAGCUUUUGCGAACGCCACCUUACUACGCUGUAGAAUUGUGAACGAACCAGCAUUGAUUCUAUUUAUAUCUGCCAUUUUACAAUCGGUAAACUCGACUGCAUCUUUUCAUUCAAAAAUCUAAUUUCCGGAAACAAAUUUAAUUGGAUGUAAAUCCAUCGUGGGACAGUGUCCCUUAAUGAUAGACUGUCAACCGGUUUUAAAUAAUUUUGGUAUAAUCUGUCCACGUCCACAAUCAACGACGAGAAGCUAUAACAAGAAAGAGAUAAAUUUUUUUUCUACCUUACCAUCUCGACUAGUGAGUCAUAAUUACACGGUAAUGACAUUUGUGUCACACGCGGUACACUACAUUUCACCUGCUAAGCGUUUUCUCAAGGUCUCUAUAUUUAUAUGCAUUUUGAAACAAUUUUAUUUAAUGCGUCUACACAUCAUUAAUGGUUGUGUAUUAUACAGCAUUUUUUAGAUAAUAUUUUAAACAUUAUUAUUUUAACUCGGUUCAAUUGGUGGACAGUUUUAUUUACACUGGACCAUUUUUACUCAUCUACUAGCCUUGUCCUUUCUUAAAGAUACAUAAUGCCAUUGUAUCAUUAAUGAAAUAGAAUAAUUUUGAGUUAUAUUUAAUUUUUAAAACGAUUUUUUAAAAUAUUGAACAAAAUUAAAAUAUUGCCAAAAUGAUGGACAUUGAUCCUCCACAAUUUGUGUCCAAAGAUGAUGAAAUUCAAUAUUGGAUGGAACUUGCUCAUCAAAUACAUAGAAGGAAAGAGGAUAUAGAAAGAGAAUUGGAAGAAUUUCAAGAAAAUUCACAAUUGUUAGAGAAAGAACUUGAAGCAUCAUUAGAACAAGCAGAAAAAACUAACAGAGAAUUACGACAACGAAAUACAAGACUAGCUACUGAAGUUGAACAAUUAAGAACAAGAUUAGAUCAACAAACAACAGAUUGUGCAAUGUUUCAAGGAAAAGCUCAGGACUUACAAACACAACAUGAUCAUUUAUUAAAAUACAUAAGAGAAUUAGAACAAAAGAAUGAUGACUUAGAAAGAGCUCAUAGAAUAAAUAGGGUAACAGAAGAGGAAAUAGAAGCUAAACUUAAUUCUGCUAUUGAAAAAAAUGCUUUAUUAGAAUCAGAACUUGAUGAAAAAGAAGCUUUAAAAGUUAUAGUACAAAGACUAAUGGAUGAAAUAAGAGAUUUAAAACAGGAAAUUCAAGUACAAGAAAGGCACCAACCAGAUAAUGAUAAAUCAGCUGACAGAGUUCGGAACCAUGUUGAUAGUAAUAAACUUCAAGUUGAAUUGGAAGCACACAUAUCGCCUAGUAGUCCAAUAGUACCACAAUCUAUAGCUCCAAAUAAUACAACAACUUCACCAUUAAAAAUUGGAAACAAAGUUGUAGGAGGUGUAACUGGAAACAACAAUAACAAUAAUAAUGUGAAUCCACCACUGACACCAUGCACAAGAAUACUAGCAAUGAAUAUGAUUGGUGAUCUUAUGAGGAAAGUUGGUCUUGACAGAUGGGUCUGCAUGGAGUGCAGAAGGGUAAAGUGCACUUGUCUGGGUGAGAAAAAUACAAUUUCCACUACACCUACUGAUUUACCAUCCAUCCAGGUUCAUACAUCUCCUCAUUGUAUAUGGCAACAACCUAGAUCAACCAAGUGCUGAUCAAGUUUUUGUGUACAGGCAUUGGAGAAUAAAUUAAACACAUGUCAAAAUCCAUCUCGAGAGGAUCAAGCUGUCCGUGAUCUUUACAGGACUAGACGCCAAGUUCGAGGUUUUGCCUCUGGCAACUGCAACCACAUUCGAUUAUAAACAACGGAUAAUAUUCCAACAAAAAAUUUUGUGCAUUAUAUUUGUAAGGCUAUACAUGUUAUUUAACCAAAAAAAUCUCAUUUGCUAAUUUAUUAUAAAUCUGUAUGAAAAA
Molecule: unclassified non-coding RNA, 2129 nt
Filed under: Apis dorsata (giant honeybee)
Lineage: Eukaryota; Metazoa; Arthropoda; Insecta; Hymenoptera; Apidae
Description: nuclear distribution protein nudE-like 1-A, transcript variant X4
Source: RNAcentral